Long non-coding RNA from Amblyraja radiata (thorny skate), 97 nucleotides. RefSeq lists it as uncharacterized. The transcript is spliced from 3 exons. Lineage: Eukaryota; Metazoa; Chordata; Chondrichthyes; Rajiformes; Rajidae. The record is from RefSeq and is a predicted model, not a curated record.
CACCGAGUCCGCACCGACCAGCGAUCCCCGCACACUAACACAUCCCUACACACACCGGGGCCAAUAUUUACGUUUACACCAAGCCAAUCAAGCUACA